GACGAACGCUGGCGGCGUGCCUAAUACAUGCAAGUAGAACGCUGAAGAGAGGAGCUUACUCUUCUUGGAUGAGUUGCGAACGGGUGAGUAACGCGUAGGUAACCUGCCUUGUAGCGGGGGAUAACUAUUGGAAACGAUAGCUAAUACCGCAUAACAAUGGAUGACACAUGUCAUUUAUUUGAAAGGGGCAAUUGCUCCACUACAAGAUGGACCUGCGUUGUAUUAGCUAGUAGGUGAGGUAAGGGCUCACCUAGGCGACGAUACAUAGCCGACCUGAGAGGGUGAUCGGCCACACUGGGACUGAGACACGGCCCAGACUCCUACGGGAGGCAGCAGUAGGGAAUCUUCGGCAAUGGGGGCAACCCUGACCGAGCAACGCCGCGUGAGUGAAGAAGGUUUUCGGAUCGUAAAGCUCUGUUGUAAGUCAAGAACGGGUGUGAGAGUGGAAAGUUCACACUGUGACGGUAGCUUACCAGAAAGGGACGGCUAACUACGUG
Molecule: ribosomal RNA, 497 nt
Filed under: uncultured bacterium
Lineage: Bacteria
Description: partial 16S ribosomal RNA
Rfam family: Bacterial small subunit ribosomal RNA
Source: RNAcentral